AUGAAGUGUAAGUACAAAAUACGGAGUUUGGAUGUCCAAUGUGCGAUUAUGAGAAUGCUCGGCAUUCUGCCGAUGAGAGGCUAUUCGAAGGCUAUUCAGAGAUGUAUCGCCAAUGGUAUAUUAGUACUCUUGUUGAUCAACGUUCUUGGUAAACUGAUUUACAUCUACAAAGUCAAUCCAGAGUUGAGCUUCUGGCGCAAAGUGAGCAACGUUAACUUGUGGUACUACCAGACAUACACUUUCUUCAUGUACCUCAGUCUGUACGUCGAUUCGGAGGGGAUACUGACAUUGAAGCAGCAUGUCGAGGGAACUUUCUAUCACACGUCCUCGGAGGAAACGAGGAAAAUUAUCAGAAGUUCUAGGAGGAAGGAACAGACUUUUUGCUUGGUGGCGGCGUUGGCUAUGAUAAGUUUGGUCGCAUUGGCGCUGUUCGCUUACCUCUUCGUCGUGCCAAAGUCUUCCGGAUUGAGUCAAUCGACGGAGGAGUAUUUCCGACGUGAAGGGAAAAGGUUUCCGGAGAACCAAAACGUGAUGAAAAAUUGGUUCCCGUUCGAUGAGACGGUGCCGCCGUGGCCUGAAACGUUAAACGCCAUCGGGAUCUCCCUGUUUCUGAGCUGUACCGUUCUCCUCUACAUAUUCAUCACGUUCGUUCCUCUGGUGGGCUUCCACGUCCAGGGCCAGUUUCAAAUACUCCUCCAUCAAAUAGCGAGUCUGAGUGGGGAUCUUCUCACUGCCCCGGUGUCUUCGGCGACCAGCGAUGAGAGACACGAGGUCGUGUACAAGAAGAUAAGAGACUUAGUCGAACAUCAUCAACUGAUACUCAGGUCAGGAAAUCUAUGUUUAAAUUGGACUGCAUUGUGCAAUUUGGACCUGUAAAUUCUGGCUCAUCUGAAAAAACACUUAUGUGCAUAGGGAAACUAAUGGCACAUACGUUGUUUUUAAACAGGGCCGGAAUUUAUAGGUCCAAACUGCAAAAUGCAGUCCAAUUACACGUUAGGGAAAUUUGAAUUUCCAUCGCGAAAGAACGUAACUUCAUUUGGAUCACAUUUUGCAAUGUGGAACCAUUUCUGGCCCAUUAUACAAAUGAAAUAUAUGCCAUCGCUUUCCCUAUGCAGAAAGGUGAUUUUAUAAAGGAGCUAGAGAUGGUGGUUCCUUAUUGCAAAAUGUGAUCCGUUUCAAUGUUGUCAAAUGUUUCCUCACAAAUUGGAUUUUUUUCGAGGAGAAUAUUGGGCAUUUCGAACUGGACAUUUCACUGGUUUUUCGCACAAAUAAGUCUAGUAGUUUUACACAAAAAAAAAAAGUAAUCUAACACCAUAAUCAAGGUUCGUAUCCGGGUAGUUUCAUCAUUGAUAUAUUACUUAUGAUGUAGAAGAAACAAGGUGGAGAAAUAGUGCUGGGUUCUCACCAUUUUUUAUUUUAUUUGUGUAUUUUAUUUUAUUCAUUAGUGUUAUUUUUCACUUAUUAUGUAGUUUUUUUACGUUUCUGCGAGACGUCGCGAAAUUGACGGACAACCCUUAUUCCGUGUACACGAUUUGUAAGAUUUCCAUAUAUCCUACUUCUAGAUUUUGUCACGAGUACUCAGUCUUCUGCCGAGCAAUGCUGCUGGUUCGGGGUACUUUCUGCUCAAUUUAUAUUGCAUCGACAGUGAUGCUCACCUCCUCCAUGGUAUGUACUUUAAAAGAGACUCUAUUAAACUUGUCAUUGUAAGUAGUGUUACAAGUAGAUGGUCACUAUAAUGUAAAUUUAAUUCUUAAAAUAGGUAAAUUAAUUAAAGGUCCCUGUCAAAGAAAAGCUUGCAAUGUAGUGAGCUAUAUACGCCAUUGUUUUUUACUCUCUUGUGAGCCUCAAGCACGAAACGUAAUUUUAUUACACUGUUAACACUUCUGUUCAGUUUUUUGAAAUUAUUGCACCGAAGUCGAAGAAAAUGAGUGGGAAAAAUAAUUAAUCUGGCUGAAAUAAUACGUUACAGUGCCUUUCAACAAAUAAUUUGCCCACACUACAAGGGUGCAUGCGUGCUUCAAUCUAAAAAUAGGCACAGGCUCGCUGUCAAGUGAAUGUCAUCCGGUGACAGUAAUUGCAGGUUCUGUGACCCACGGUCAGGAAAUAGUGCCAUUCAAGGAUCAUGCGAACUGUCAUCUCAAAAUGAGCACAGGGCUGUGAAAUAAAUAUUACCCGACCAAAAGGUCUAGUUCAAACCAAAAGAUUUGAUAUCUAAAAUUCUUGCACUAAAAUCUGGAUCCCUCUUUAUGUAUUCAUUCAUAUUGUGUUGUUCAGUAAUUAAAUACUAAUGGUUUUUUGUUCCUAAUAGAUAAGCAACCCAAGGCUGAUUCCUUUCAUUGUAUCUCAAAUAAUAUUUUCGAUGUUAGAUGUCUUCAUGUUUUGCUACUUUGGAGAAAUGUUUAUUCAAAAUGUGAGUGCUUCCGACUAAUAUAUCAAUGUAAAGUAUAAAAGGUUUAAGAGAAUACUU
RNAcentral lists this long non-coding RNA (2467 nucleotides) under Bemisia tabaci. RNAcentral's name for it is "lncRNA ENSSWEETPG002210". Lineage: Eukaryota; Metazoa; Arthropoda; Insecta; Hemiptera; Aleyrodidae. The record is from RNAcentral.